UUGAUGAUGCCAUGAAGAUGGUGCAUUGGCCGAGUUAGGAAACUCACAAAAACACAAGGGAAGUUCCCUUAGACUUUUAAAACCUUUUCAUUCAUCUUAUUCAUUGCUUGUGCUUGAAAAGAUACUUAAAAUGAUUAUGAUUGAAUUGUGAGAUUGUGUGCAUCAAGUGUGAUGCAGGAUAUUCAUUUUCUUGGUUUUGAUAGGUACUGAUGCACCUUUGGGAUAAUGUAUCAGGUACCAUUGCUUGUAGCCUCAGUAAACAGUUCCGGGGAAUCUCCUAGCUUCUCUAAAGGGGCUGUGAAGUCUGUUGAGAGGGGGAGACCAUAAACCUAGUCUAUGAAGAGGGCAAGCCGGGUGUGAAGUAUUGAUCAGC
This 373-nucleotide long non-coding RNA is filed under the name Brassica rapa (field mustard). Its description in RNAcentral is "long non-coding RNA (BRAP_LNC008054)". The record is from RNAcentral. Lineage: Eukaryota; Viridiplantae; Streptophyta; Magnoliopsida; Brassicales; Brassicaceae.